Long non-coding RNA from Pan troglodytes (chimpanzee), 764 nucleotides. RefSeq lists it as uncharacterized. Lineage: Eukaryota; Metazoa; Chordata; Mammalia; Primates; Hominidae. The transcript is spliced from 3 exons. The record is from RefSeq and is a predicted model, not a curated record.
GGGUCUGUGUCCCUGCCCAAAUCUCAUGUCAAAUUGUAACCCCCAGUGUUGGAAGCGGGGCCUGGUGGGAGGUGAUUAGAUCCUGGGGGCAGAUUUCCCCUUUGGUGUUCUUGUGGUAGUAAAUUAUUGUGAGAUCUGGUUGUUUAAAAGUGUAUGGCACCUCCCUGCCUCUCUCUUCCUUCUGCUCGGGCCAUGUAAGAAGUACCUGCUUCCCCUUUGCCUUCUGCCAUGAUUCUAAGUUUCCUGAGGCCUCUCCGGCCAUGCUUCCUGUACAGCCUGUGGAACUGAGUUUCCCUGAACAAGCUCUCUUUGCCUGCUGCCAUCCAUGUAAGACGUGACUUAUUCCUCCUUGCCUUCCGCCAUGAUUGUGAGGCCUCCCCAGCCAUUCAGAACUGUGAGGGUUCCAGACUCCAGAGUCUCCCUUUACCUAGUUCUUGGGAGUCUAGUGCAGCUGAAGACGAGGUACUGCGGAUGAAGAGGAAGACGAGGUACUGCGGAUGAAGAGAAACCCAGAUGAUCCAGGCACAUUUUAUAGACAAGGCCUCAACGACCCCAAAGGAACCUUUGAAAUCACCCUUUUCCUGGGUUCACGACGACUUGUAAAUGAUACCAUCCAUCCCUGCUUAUUCAUACUUAUUAAAUACCAGAAUAAAGAGAUUAGAGCUCACGAGGGGCUUCCUCCCCAUCACUCUGGGGCUGCUUGGCUGCAUUUAUGAUGAGAAGGCUCUGGGUGUUUAAUAAAGUAUCUGAUAUGUCUAAUAAAA